AGAAUCAACGCUGGCGGCGUGCCUAACGCAUGCAAGUCGAACGAGAAAGUGGAGCAAUCCAUGAGUAAAGUGGCGACCGGGUGAGUAACACGUGACUAACCUACCUUCGAGUGGGGGAUAACCUCGGGAAACCGAGGCUAAUACCGCAUAACAUCGCAAGAUCAAAGCAGCAAUGCGCUGGAAGAGGGGGUCGCGGCUGAUUAGCUAGUUGGCGGGGUAACGGCCCACCAAGGCGAAGAUCGGUA
Molecule: ribosomal RNA, 245 nt
Filed under: uncultured bacterium
Lineage: Bacteria
Description: partial small subunit ribosomal RNA
Rfam family: Bacterial small subunit ribosomal RNA
Source: RNAcentral